This is a non-coding RNA of Mycena albidolilacea, 99 nucleotides long. NCBI's taxonomy places the organism in Eukaryota, Fungi, Basidiomycota, Agaricomycetes, Agaricales, Mycenaceae. The record is from the annotation of a GenBank genome assembly.
GGUCCGAUGGUGUAGUUGGUUAUCACUUCUGUCUAACAUUAAUCUCCUAAUGGGGAUAUGUCGCACAGGCGGUCCUCAGUUCGAACCUGGGUCGGAUCA